UCAAAAUUUAUUGUUGGUGUUUCUUAGGGCUUUUGGAGUCUUAGUGUGGGAAACAUUAACUUUGGGUCAACAGCCGUAUCCGGGUCUCUCCAAUAUAGAAGUUUUACACCAUGUACGAUCAGGAGGAAGGCUGGAAUCACCGAACAACUGUCCUGAUGACAUACGUGAUUUAAUGACACGAUGCUGGGCCCAAGAUCCUCACAACAGACCAACUUUCUUUUAUAUUCAGCACAAACUUCAGGAGAUAAGGCACUCUCCACUGUGCUUCAGCUACUUCCUUGAAGACAAAGAGUCGGUGACUGGAUUCAUCAACCAAGCUUUUGAGGAUAUUGAUGUUCCACCUGCAGAUUCAGACAGCAUUCUUUCAACCACUCUAAUGGAAGCAAGGGAUCAAGAAGGCCUAAAUUAUUUGGUAGUAGUCAAAGAAAGCAACCAAGAUCAAGGUAGCGUCAGCUCUGCAGAACUUACUUCGGUCUAAUUCCAUCUGUCUAAUGCUCCGCUUGAGGACAGAAGAGAGAACUCUACCAAAGAAGAUGUAAGACGGAGAAAAUAUUAUGCACUUUAUAUACAUUUAAAGAUUUCUUAAAAGAAACACUAACACUCUAAAACACCAGAACUUCCAGAGAACGUCAUAAGGUACUGAAACUUGUGUACAAUAAGACAACAGUCACAUAUUUUUUAUUUUCUAAAUGCUAAGUUUCAUGCAUUUCACAAGAAAUAGAUUAAGGAAAUAAAACUUGCCAUCAGAGAGAAACUUUAUGCAGAGACAUAAACCUUGGACGCAAGCAUUCCUUCCAAAAGAGAAGUACUGAAAUGCUGUCUCAUAGAAGGGAACCACCUGAUCAUGAAAAGAAAAACAGUUCAAAUAUAGCUUCAUUGAGCACUCAUGAGAUUAUAAAAGUUGAAAAGCUAACAAAUGCUAGUUGUAUUUUUCUGAUCUCCAAAUCUGUAGGCAAUUGAAGAAAGGUGGCUGGAUUGUUCACAGCAGGGAUGGUCUACUUUAUCAUUUAAUUUAAACAUACGCUUGCAAUCAUCUCAAAUUUUAAGUUGUACAGUUAUUGAUCUGAGAAUCUAGUAUCCACAUUCCUUUUCCCUUUUAAUGUUGAUCACCUUUCAUUUCUUAAUUGACUGGAUAACGGUAAAUGUUUUUCCUUUAUGUCCUUGGAGAUCAAAUCAAAAUAUAUAAUAAAACAAUAUACAAAUAAUUCCUGAGUAAAUGGAAGCAAUAAGCUCUUUAGAAUGUUUCAUCAUGAAUAGGAAUUUAUAAAUUUUGCAGAGAUUUUCACUGACAUCUGUCAGGAAGCUAGAUUAAUGUCCUGCUUUUAUGCAAACUCUUGACAGUGGGGAACACUGGAGAGUAGUGAAAAUGCAAAUGCUAAAAUGUUUAAUGCUAAAAUGUAGAUAUUUUUAAGGAACAUCACCGCUGAAGUCAAGCUCCAAAAGUUUCUCAAAUGGAGAUCCAAUACAGAUAAACAAGAUGUUUGGCAUUUGACUAUUUGAAAGUCUUUCUUCAAAUUUAAUUGAUUUAAUUCCAAAAACUGAGGUACUUUGGAAUUAAUACUCUUUAAAAAUCAUUGGCCAAAAAACAAAACAAACAAAAAAAACCCUACCAAACCAAACCAAACCAAACCAAACAACCGAUUCAAGUUGGCUGUUACCAUGUCAUUUUUUCCUUUUACAGUUUAGCCACAUUUGUACAUGUACAAGCCACAGUUGCCAAUACCAACAGUUGAAUUCUUCUAUCUUUUCUUCUCUUAACCUACAUUCACCAGGCCAUUAGUGAUGGAUAAAUAAAUACUGUAUAAUGUUUCCCCCCUCUUCAAUUUCUGUUUGAUUAAUUGUAUAGCUAUUCCUUCCAUUUCAGUAACUUAUACAUGAGUAACAUUUACUAACAAGUAACACAUUCUAACAGGAAACUGGGAAGAUCUAUGUUCUGUGGUCACAGCACCAGGAUGACUUCAUAUGCAUGUGCAAUUCCACUUAACUCAAGAAGACUGCUCAGUCAGCAAGAUGCAGACAAAAGGUUGAGAAUGAACAUGACUUCAUACAAUAUCUUUUUCACGAUAUUCUGAUAUUAGCAAGAGAAGCCUUCAAUCCUGCCAGGAAGCUUAUCUAGGCAGCAAUGUUCACAGGCCUCAUGACUACGUCUGUGAUAUAAUCUACAUCAAUUUAAUCUUGUAUAGGUCUGAGUUGGAAAAUGAUAAUGCAAAAGCCUAUCCAACCUGAGUAAAUUGAGUUAGCGUGGAAGGUGAGUAAUAGUGGCAACAGCAGUAAUAAUUUUGACACCUCAAACCAGUCACAAAUACUCAAAGAUAAAAAAGAACAGACAGGAAGGUAAGUGUUGCUUUGUUCACAUUUUGGAAAACUAGUUUUGAUGGAGGGUUUAUUAGAGCAGGAUGAAGAACAAAGUGUCGACUUUAACGCAGUGCCAACAAACAAAACUCAGAAUAGUGAGCACUAUUGCACCUAACAGUAUGAAAAAUUGAUUGAAUAAGACACAAGUCUCUAAGUAUAUAUCUAAGAAUCCUUGUAUAUAACUUGCAGGAGUCAGUGGAAGACACAUUAUUUAACCUCUCCCAUGCAUACAGUGUGGUCCCAAGCAUGCUUGAUGAUGCCAUUCUUCAGCUCUGAGCCUCCUAGUUCCUUAUCUUCCUGUCUUAGAGAAGUACAUAUACAAAGACUGUACUGACUGGGAGUUCAAAGUUACCAUAUCUGAGUCCACUCAUAACAUUAGUUACAAAAAACUUCUUAAUCUUUCACACUUCCACAUCACACUUUUCUCUACACAUCACCAUUUCACAUUCUUUAUAACAUGAAAUUACACCUCAGCUCUUCAUAAUUAUUCUCAUUUUACUCAUCAAUUUUCCUUACACUCUGAAGGACACCUCUCACUUUCAAGCAGCCAGUGUUUGAUAAUGCUUCUCAUAGAUACCUUUGGAGACAGUAGGAGGGAUGAACAGCCGUGAAAGACUCUUUUAACACACUCCGUCUUGGGAAAGGAAAAGGGCAUUACCUGGCCUAUGUUUAUAUUUCUCCUUUGCUGACUCCACCUCUGGCAGACAAAGUGAAAGAUUCAAGAAAGUUUGAAUUUAAGAGUCUUGACUUUCAAGUCUAUCUUUUUUAACUUAAUGCAGAUGGAUUUAAGGAUGAGAAUAUCUUUUUAAGGAAACAUGUAUUUAGCAGAGAAAAAAAUCCUAAUUUAUCAGAAAGAUUAAAUAUGAGAUACAAAUGAAGCAGUCGUUAUGACUACACUUGUGUGACAUUCUGCUGAGAGACUCAUCCUUAAGUGUACAGCAAAUAUUGUGUAUCUUUACCUUCUUUGUUCAAGGCAUACAUUGAUAACGAGUAUGGGGUGUGGUAUCUAAUGUAGGCCUGGGGCCCCCAGCACAGGAAGGACUCCUGGAGCUCUUACAUCGGGUCCAGAGGAGGUCCACAA
Meleagris gallopavo (turkey) is the source of this 3436-nucleotide non-coding RNA. The record is from RefSeq and is a predicted model, not a curated record. Lineage: Eukaryota; Metazoa; Chordata; Aves; Galliformes; Phasianidae.